This 73-nucleotide transfer RNA is filed under the name Pirellula sp. Its description in RNAcentral is "tRNA-Ile". It matches the Rfam family "tRNA". From Rfam's summary of the family: Transfer RNA (tRNA) molecules are approximately 80 nucleotides in length. RNAcentral also lists the same sequence under 2 other names. The record is from RNAcentral. Lineage: Bacteria; Pseudomonadati; Planctomycetota; Planctomycetia; Pirellulales; Pirellulaceae.
GGGACCGUAGCUCAACGGUUAGAGCAGGGGACUCAUAAUCCCUUGGUUGCAGGUUCGAAUCCUGCCGGUCCUA